AAACAACAGCAGGUGGGUGAAUGAUUGGCUACCAACAGUUCCAUAUACUUCAUCAGCUUUGUGAUAUAUUUUGGGGUUCCCUUUUCUAAGAGCUCCCUUUUCCCACACAUGGAUGCUGACCAUGGUGAACUGCCAAUCACUACUGGAGACGGAACUACUGCUGUCACAGCCCGCUUUAUCAUGGAUGUUAACAAAAGGGCCACCAUCACUAGAGGCUGGAGUGACUUCUUCCGUCAGGCGCACAUGGAGAAAGGUCAAGCAUAUGCUUUCGACUUCAAAUGCACUUCCAAGGGACUGCGCCUGAUCGUCUACUCAAUAUAAGAAAGUUGCAAGAGCCCCUUGUUAUAUAACUUAGCAUUAGUAUAGAUGCCUACUAAGACUUCUAUGUUUGUCAUUUGUCUAUUGCAUGUUCUCUGCUCAUUGCAGGUAUGCAAGCUCUGUCUUUUGAAACUCUUGGUGUAAAGAAAAAUAUUGUUGUUUGCCCUAUCAAGAAUAUUAGCUCGAAUAAGUCCAGAUGUAUGCCAACUGAAAAGGCUAUUAUGCGUUUAUUUUCA
Non-coding RNA from Triticum urartu, 554 nucleotides. NCBI's taxonomy places the organism in Eukaryota, Viridiplantae, Streptophyta, Magnoliopsida, Poales, Poaceae. The record is from RefSeq and is a predicted model, not a curated record.